Long non-coding RNA from Ictalurus punctatus (channel catfish), 1395 nucleotides. Lineage: Eukaryota; Metazoa; Chordata; Actinopteri; Siluriformes; Ictaluridae. The record is from Ensembl.
ACGUACCGCUCACUCCAUCUUUUUCUUUUAUCGAAAAGGAUCGUGAGGUGAGUCCUGCCAAGUAAAAUAAAUACCUUUUUGUCUUAAAGAAGGUAACGUAUGAUCAAAAAUUACACUGACGAACAAGUCACCAAAACAAAAUGUAGACUUUGGCUCAUUUGGGCUUGGACAACAAAAUGUAUACGGUGUUAUUUAAGGAAGAGAGAGGAAAAAAAAAAAAAGUCCCCCCCCUCCCCAUCAUCUUGUGGCCAACGUGAUACUCGGAUAAAUGUUGUGUAGUGUGAAGAAGAUUGCAAACUUGCAGGCUUACUCGACUUUCGUUGGGCUGAAAAAAUAAAGAACAAAAAUCGGGAAGGAGGCGCUACAAAAAAGGUGGCUUAGGAAGCGCUACAAAAAAAGGUAACAUCUGACCUAAAUGUCUUUUUAUUCAACACCACUGUUUGAGAUUUUUUCAUUUAAUUUUUGCUUUUAAAAAAAUAUAAGGAACACAUUCAAAAUCUAGAUCAAAGUUAAUACAUGCAACUCUUGCUCUAAAACCUUUUUUCCUUUCCUUUUUUUUUUUUAAAUAGAUUUCAUUUAAAAGUAAAAAAAAAAAAAAAGUUACCACUAAAUGAUGUAAAUUUAUGUAUAAUAAAAAUACUAAUUAGCAUAUUUCACUCUAAAAAUAGAUCAAAUAAGUCAUUUAAAUAAGCACGAGUUGCAUUGCUUGGUUUAAAGUCGUAGAUCUGAGUUCAGCGUUAAGUAGAAAGUUUAUUAAUUAUUUUCCCUCUCUGUUCUCCGCCGUCUCACAGAUGCUGGUCUUGGAUCUGCUGACUGGAUGAAAGUGAAACCACUUAAAAGACCCUAAUUUAUGCUCCAGGAACCCACAAACCACACCUUCAACAAAAAGCCUUUUGUUUGGCUUAGGAGACUAGACCGGCGUACCCGCUGAACUGUUCACUUUAACACCCAGCACACGUGCUAUCCAGACCACCUGGAAAUUAUGGACCAAAUAUGUUUAUUCUGACAGAUUUUCUGUAAGAAUGAAAGUUAUUGAAAGCUUUUUUUUUUUUAAUUAUUUUUUUAAAAGGUGGAACGUUACAGUUUCUUUUAAACAGGUGUGCAGUUUUAUAUGCUUCAUUUUUAGUGUAGCCUUCUGGCUUCUUUUGUAUGCAGCUGUAUUUUAUAAAUACGUGAGUUGUGUUCUUUUUUAUAAAGGUGUUUUGUACUGUUGGCAAAUUAAAUAUAUUUUCUAUAGUGGAAAAUGUUGUCAUGUCUGGUUUGUAUGUCAGGCAAUCAACAAAUGUUUCUUACAGACGGCGAUGCAGUUUUCUAUCGUAUCGCGAGUCAUCUUCAUGCUUGUAAUCUGCUGAAUUCCCAACAUCCUCCUCCUCUUUGCAAAUAGCGUUGGGACAC